Molecule: small RNA, 30 nt
Filed under: Bombyx mori (domestic silkworm)
Lineage: Eukaryota; Metazoa; Arthropoda; Insecta; Lepidoptera; Bombycidae
Description: ovarian small RNA-13586
Source: RNAcentral
CCAUCACAUACGCCUUUAAUCAGAAUAGCC